This 492-nucleotide ribosomal RNA is filed under the name uncultured bacterium. RNAcentral describes it as "partial 16S ribosomal RNA". It matches the Rfam family "Bacterial small subunit ribosomal RNA", at positions 29 to 507 of the family's 1533-position model. The record is from RNAcentral.
AGUGAACGCUGGCGGUAGGCCUAACACAUGCAAGUCGAACGGCAGCACAGUAAGAGCUUGCUCUUACGGGUGGCGAGUGGCGGACGGGUGAGGAAUACAUCGGAAUCUACUUUUUCUUGGGGGAUAACGUAGGGAAACUUACGCUAAUACCGCAUACGACCUACGGGUGAAAGCAGGGGAUCUUCGGACCUUGCGCGAUUGAAUGAGCCGAUGUCGGAUUAGCUAGUUGGCGGGGUAAAGGCCCACCAAGGCGACGAUCCGUAGCUGGUCUGAGAGGAUGAUCAGCCACACUGGAACUGAGACACGGUCCAGACUCCUACGGGAGGCAGCAGUGGGGAAUAUUGGACAAUGGGCGAAAGCCUGAUCCAGCCAUACCGCGUGGGUGAAGAAGGCCUUCGGGUUGUAAAGCCCUUUUGUUGGGAAAGAAAAGCAGCAGGUUAAUACCCCGCUGUUCUGACGGUACCCGAAGAAUAAGCACCGGCUAACUUCGUG